UAAGCGGAGGAAAAGAAACUAACAAGGAUUCCCCUAGUAACUGCGAGUGAAGCGGGAAAAGCUCAAAUUUGGAAUCUGGUGGUCUUUGGCCAUCCGAGUUGUAAUUUAGAGAAGCGUCUUCCGCGCUGGACCGUGCACAAGUCUCCUGGAAUGGAGCGUCAUAGAGGGUGAGAAUCCCGUCUUUGGCAUGGAAUCCCAGGGCUUCUGUGAUGCGCUCUCGACGAGUCGAGUUGUUUGGGAAUGCAGCUCAAAAUGGGUGGUGAACUCCAUCUAAAGCUAAAUAUUGGCGAGAGACCGAUAGCGAACAAGUACCGUGAGGGAAAGAUGAAAAGCACUUUGGAAAGAGAGUGAAACAGUACGUGAAAUUGUUGAAAGGGAAACGCUUGAAGUCAGUCGCGUCGACCGAGACUCAGCCUUGCCUCGGCUUGGUGUACUUCUCGGCUUGACGGGUCAGCAUCGAUUUCAAUCCUCGGAUAAUGGCAAGGGAAAGGUAGCACCUUUUUAGGUGUGUUAUAGUCCUCUGUCGCAUGCGAGGGUCGGGAUCGAGGAACUCAGCACGCACCUCAGGGUGUCGGGGCCUUGGCCCACGUUUACGUGCUUAGGAUGCUGGCGUAAUGGCCUUAAACGACC
RNAcentral lists this ribosomal RNA (630 nucleotides) under uncultured Russulaceae. Its description in RNAcentral is "LSU rRNA". It matches the Rfam family "Eukaryotic large subunit ribosomal RNA", at positions 47 to 649 of the family's 3401-position model. The record is from RNAcentral. Lineage: Eukaryota; Fungi; Basidiomycota; Agaricomycetes; Russulales; Russulaceae.